ACACGGAGCAGCAAUGCUGUGUAAGGCUUGAACCAGAUGUUAAGGAAUGAAGGCUUACCAGCACCUUGAUCAGGGCUGCAUGACUGCACCAUUGAAGCAUCCAUCUCAUGACCUGGCACACAUGAAAGAUGAUCAAAGCAACAGCUUUGGUUGGUUUAAAGCAAUUUUAUGGAAACUGCAUGCUGGACAAAGCAGCUGAAAAACAACAAGGAUU
Molecule: long non-coding RNA, 214 nt
Organism: Malaclemys terrapin pileata
Lineage: Eukaryota; Metazoa; Chordata; Testudines; Emydidae
Exons: 3
Source: RefSeq, a predicted model, not a curated record